CUCUAACGCUGGCGGCGUGCUUAACACAUGCAAGUCGAACGGAAAGGCCCUUCGGGGUACUCGAGUGGCGAACGGGUGAGUAACACGUGGGUGAUCUGCCCUGCACUUUGGGAUAAGCCUGGGAAACUGGGUCUAAUACCGGAUAGGACUACGGCCUGCAUGGGUUGUGGUGGAAAGCUUUUGCGGUGUGGGAUGGGCCCGCGGGCCUAUCAGCUUGUUGGUGGGGUGAUGGCCUACCAAGGCGACGACGGGUAGCCGGCCUGAGAGGGUGACCGGCCACACUGGGACUGAGAUACGGCCCAGACUCCUACGGGAGGCAGCAGUGGGGAAUAUUGCACAAUGGGCGCAAGCCUGAUGCAGCGACGCCGCGUGGGGGAUGACGGCCUUCGGGUUGUAAACCUCUUUCAGUAGGGACGAAGCGUAAGUGACGGUACCUAUAGAAGAAGCACCGGCCAACUACGUGCCAGCAGCCGCGGUAAUACGUAGGGUGCGAGCGUUGUCCGGAAUUACUGGGCGUAAAGAGCUCGUAGGUGGUUUGUCGCGUUGUUCGUGAAAACUCACAGCUUAACUGUGGGCGUGCGGGCGAUACGGGCAGACUAGAGUACUGCAGGGGAGACUGGAAUUCCUGGUGUAGCGGUGGAAUGCGCAGAUAUCASGAGGAACACCGGUGGCGAAGGCGGGUCUCUGGGCAGUAACUGACGCUGAGGAGCGAAAGCGUGGGGAGCGAACAGGAUUAGAUACCCUGGUAGUCCACGCCGUAAACGGUGGGUACUAGGUGUGGGUUUCCUUCCUUGGGAUCCGUGCCGUAGCUAACGCAUUAAGUACCCCGCCUGGGGAGUACGGCCGCAAGGCA
This 853-nucleotide ribosomal RNA is filed under the name Mycolicibacterium insubricum. RNAcentral's name for it is "bacterial SSU rRNA". It matches the Rfam family "Bacterial small subunit ribosomal RNA", at positions 28 to 895 of the family's 1533-position model. The record is from RNAcentral. Lineage: Bacteria; Bacillati; Actinomycetota; Actinomycetes; Mycobacteriales; Mycobacteriaceae.